CUUCUUAACAACACUAUCAACAAGGCAGGUCCUACAGGCCCUAGUUUCUACCUUCUUAACAGCACUAUCAACAAGGCAGGUCCUACAGGCCCUAGUUUCUACCUUCUUAACAACACUAUCAACAAGGCAGGUCCUACAGGCCCUAGUUUCUACCUUCUCAACAACACUAUCAACAAGGCAGGUCCUACAGGCCCUAGUUUCUACCUUCUUACCAGCACUAUCAACAAGGCAGGUCCUACAGGCCCUAGUUUCUACCUUCUUAACAACACUAUCAACAAGGCAGGUCCUACAGGCCCUAGUUUCUACCUUCUUAACAACACUAUCAACAAGGCAGGUCCUACAGGCCCUAGUUUUGUCGCACCUGGACUACUGUUCAGUCGUGUGAUCAGGUGCCACAAGGAGGAAAAUUGCCAUUGGCUCGCACAGCUCAGGCUAGCACACAGCUCAGACACCCAUCCAUACCCCACAAGACAUGCCACCAGAGGUCUGUUUAAACUACUGGCACACAGCUCAGACACCCAUCCAUACCCCACAAGACAUGCCACCAGAGGUCUGUUUAAACUACUGGCACACAGCUCAGACACCCAUCCAUACCCCACAAGACAUGCCACCAGAGGUCUCUUCACAGUCCCCAAGUCCAGAACAGACUAUGGGAGGAGCACAGUACUACAUAGAGCCAUGACUACAUGAAACAAUAUUCCACAUCAGGUAACUGAUGCAGCAGGAGAAUCAGAUUUAAACAAAACAGAAUAAAAAUACAGCUUAUGGAACAACGGGGACUGAGAAGAGAGACAGACACAUGCAUAAACACACACACAAUAACAUACGCACUACUAUACAGAUAUGUGGUGGUAAAAUAUGUUGUGAAAUGUAUUAUAAUGUUUUUAAAAUUGUAUAACUAUGAUCGAAAAAGGCAAUCGCACGUCUGCGCUAUCUUUGUUCAGGUGCAUGGUUUCUCAUCUAAAAUUGUAUAAACUGCCUUAAUUCUGCUGGAGGAAGAGUAGCUGCUGCCUUGGCAGGAACUAAUGGGGAUCCAUAACAAACC
This 1045-nucleotide long non-coding RNA is filed under the name Salmo salar (Atlantic salmon). Its description in RNAcentral is "lncRNA (ENSSSAG00000120003.1)". Lineage: Eukaryota; Metazoa; Chordata; Actinopteri; Salmoniformes; Salmonidae. The record is from RNAcentral.